This 248-nucleotide long non-coding RNA is filed under the name Callithrix jacchus (white-tufted-ear marmoset). RNAcentral describes it as "lncRNA (ENSCJAG00000079868.1)". The record is from RNAcentral. Lineage: Eukaryota; Metazoa; Chordata; Mammalia; Primates; Cebidae.
GAGGAACUGAAAUCACAGUCAGGCUGAAGUACAGAGCAAAGGAUGCUGGGGUGUGAGGUGAGGUCAAAAGGUAGACACCAAGACUAGAGGCUGCAUAAUCUUGCUGGCUGUGCUAAUGAUUUUCUACCCCAAGAAUGCUGCUUCAGGAGAUCAGGGUUCGAAUUGUAACACAGAUACCAUCUUCUGUCCUGCCUCUAAAACUUAAAUACCGGUGACCCAAAGUCUCCAUUGAAACGGAUUGAGACCCG